AACGCGAAGAACCUUACCUACCCUUGACAUCCUAAGAAUCUUGUAGAGAUAUGAGAGUGCCGAAAGGAACUUAGAGACAGGUGCUGCAUGGCUGUCGUCAGCUCGUGUUGUGAGAUGUUGGGUUAAGUCCCGUAACGAGCGCAACCCUUAUCCUUAGUUGCCAACAUGUAAUGGUGGGGACUCUAAGGAGACUGCCGGUGAUGAACCGGAGGAAAGCGGGGACGACGUCAAGUCAUCAUGGCCUUUAUGGGUAGGGCCACACACGUGCUACAAUGGGGCGUACAGAGGGAAGCCAACCUGCGAAGGGGAGCCAAUCCCAGAAAGCGCCUCGUAGUCCGGAUUGAAGUCUGCAACUCGACUUCAUGAAGUCGGAAUCGCUAGUAAUCGCGAAUCAGAACGUCGCGGUGAAUACGUUCCCGGGCCUUGUACACACCGUACGUC
This 441-nucleotide ribosomal RNA is filed under the name uncultured bacterium. RNAcentral describes it as "bacterial SSU rRNA". It matches the Rfam family "Bacterial small subunit ribosomal RNA", at positions 958 to 1398 of the family's 1533-position model. The record is from RNAcentral.